RNAcentral lists this ribosomal RNA (500 nucleotides) under uncultured bacterium. RNAcentral's name for it is "partial 16S ribosomal RNA". It matches the Rfam family "Bacterial small subunit ribosomal RNA", at positions 30 to 523 of the family's 1533-position model. The record is from RNAcentral.
AUUGAACGCUGGCGGAAUGCUUUACACAUGCAAGUCGAACAGCAGCACGGACUUCGGUCUGGUGGCGAGUGGCGAACGGGUGAGUAAUAUAUCGGAACGUGCCCAGUCGUGGGGGAUAACGUAGUGAAAAUUACGCUAAUACCGCAUACGAUCUAUGGAUGAAAGCGGGGGAUCGCAAGACCUCGCGCGAUUGGAGCGGCCGAUAUCAGAUUAGGUAGUUGGUGAGGUAAAGGCUAACCAAGCCGACGAUCUGUAGCUGGUCUGAGAGGACGACCAGCCACACUGGAACUGAGACACGGUCCAGACUCCUACGGGAGGCAGCAGUGGGGAAUUUUGGACAAUGGACGCAAGUCUGAUCCAGCCAUUCCGCGUGCAGGACGAAGGCCUUCGGGUUGUAAACUGCUUUUGUACAGAACGAAAAGGUCUCUAUUAAUACUAGGGGCUCAUGACGGUACUGUAAGGAUAAGCACCGGCUAACUACGUGCCAGCCGCCGCUGUAA